Heterocephalus glaber (naked mole-rat) is the source of this 650-nucleotide non-coding RNA. The record is from RefSeq and is a predicted model, not a curated record. NCBI's taxonomy places the organism in Eukaryota, Metazoa, Chordata, Mammalia, Rodentia, Bathyergidae.
AAACAUAUUUGGAAUUACUUCAGAGAUAUCUUGUAGCUAACCUGUUAGACCGUGUGCACUUAUGUAAUUUGAAAUUUGCUUUCUUUCCUAGAAUGGAAUCUAUAGAGAAAAUGGAGUCUGAUUUUAAGAAUUGCCAUAUGUUUCUUGUAACCAUUUUAAACAAAGCUGUCUGCAGAGGAUCUUUUCCCCAUUUGGAAUCUCUGGCACUGUCACUCAUGGCUGGCAUGGAACAGAAUUAAAUGUCUGCACUGUACCAUACCUGAAACUUCAUCUUCACACACGAACAUUUCUAGCAUAUGCAGCUGAAAAGGAGAAUCUUUAUUUUGGGUUCAUUUUUUUUUUUUUGGACCAGGGAUCGAACUCGGGACCUUGUGCUUGCAAAGCAAGCGGAGGAAUCACUGAGCUAAAUACCCAGCCCUAUUUUGGUUCAUUUUUAAAACUGUUGUUAACAGACAAAUAGUCUGUGUUUUUUCUGGAAAGUAUAUAGAGUUGUGUAAAUAAGAUUGUGUAAAUAAUGUAAGGUAUACAUAGGCUAUUUACUCUUAUAUUUCCUGCUAUAAGCUGUAGAUUUAUGAUAUUGUACCCUUAAAUAAAAAUUAUGUAUCUUUAGAAAAUGUAAUUAUUGAUAUUAAAAGUAAGUCAAUACUUUG